UCUCUCUCUCUCUCUCCCUUUGCCUGCCCCUCUCUCUCCCCAGCCAGCGCUGGGACAGGGCUCACCGGAGGGGCCGUGACAGCACCAGCCCCCCCCCCCCCUUCACUUUAGAGACAGGGGCUAAUAGGGGAUUUUUAUAGGCGGAAAAGCUUUUUGCUGCUCCAGAUCGUGCAACACACAUUACACACCGACUGCUCUGCUACCCCCGGCCAUGGGCUCAGUUCCUAAUCUCACACAGGGGCACCUGAGUUGCUGGUGGGGGCAUACCCAAAAGCCAACCUUGCGUAUUAAAGCUACUAGUUUCUCCCAAGGGACUGUGAGCAUCCUACAUUGCUGUGUAGAUAUGAGGCUGAGUCCCCGUUCCGGCAUUUAUUUGGAUGCUGCAGUUCCUUGUAAGUCUCCUGGUUGACUCGGUUAUCAUGGAAUCAUCCUGAGUCUCCUGUGGCAAGUCUGCUCCUCAUUAGGCUGCUGCAGGCACUCCUCUCCAAUCCCCUCUCUCUCCAUCUCAUUCAUUCAUCCUUUUUCAUAUUCAUUCUUGCUUAGAUGUGCCUGUUCCUCUCAUGUAUUGACAGGCAACCUGAAAUGCGAAAGGAGGGGGCGGGAGGACAAGUGAGGGGAGAGGUCCCUGAGCUAAAUUUAAAAAGCACUGAUCAUUUGUCGCUAUUGACUUGUUGUGGGGAGGGGGAAGAAAAAGGAAAUAUUUGGAACAAAAUCCUGCUGAUCUGAGCUGUGGCAUUGCCAUUAACGAUCCCUUGAGGAAAAGUCAGCAUCUCAUCUUGACACAGGGAGUUGUUAAUACAGACAUGACUGCGGUGCCAGAAUGAAUUCCUGCCUGACACUGAGGGGUCUCCCUCUCUCCCCUGGCCAAAAGAUUGCUGCAGUGUUAUAAUGGUAUAACUGGGAGAUAUAAUACCAAUAUGGCUACAAGAUGUAUUGUAAUCAAUGCUUUAUCCUUUAUAUAUGGCAGACAUAUUUACACAGUGCUUUAUAGUGACUAUACCUCAUUUAUAUCAGUCCCUGUCCCAGUGGAACUUACAAUCUAACACACUCACACACCAGGGUCAGUUUCCCCCAGGGCCAAUUAACCUGCCUGUGCACAUUUGGAUUGUGCUACUGAUUUAACUAGGAGAAGGAAUUCCUUCUUGAUUUCCCUCUUUUAUUCUCAGCAAGAUCAAAUAACUGAUCACCGUUUUCAUUCUGCUUCAAUCAGUAUGAAUUAUAUUCAGAGGGACUGGCUUGUAAUUCUCACCACUUAUUAUCCUCAUGAUUUAUUUAUAUUUAGUUAUAUAGCACUUUACAUUCAUUCAACAAACAAGGGUUAUAGAAUAAAAUCGGAGGGCCCUGCUCACAUGAGCUUACAAUUUGUGCCUUUUGGUCUGUAAUACCAUAAGUCAAAUUUGGUGAGUUAAUAAACAAUCCAAUUUUUAUGUGGAUGGGAUAAAAACUAUAAUUACAAAAGUGACUUUAACUGGAGAAGGGCUUUAACUAAUUGAAUAUGAUCUAAAGGGGAAGUUGAAGUUCUUUUGUAGACUGAAUUAAAUCUGAGCUUUGAUUAGGGCAUCUAAACAGGAGAGGCAUAUAGUUGUAGGAGUAGCAGUUAUCCUUUAUUACUUAUCUUUCCUAUCAAGCUGUUUUCCAUUCAUCUCCCAGGGUGUUAUUUCAUCUAAAUGCCCCUGGAACAAGAAACAAUCUCAAUACCAAACCUGAGAGCACAGAGCAGUACAAAAGACACACAAAAAACUGACAAAUGAAGACCAACACCAAGUUGUUGUAGAAUGGAACAAAGUGCCUGUUGAUUUUGUUUACAGACUUGCCAUUUCGCCAUAGGUCUAUAUCAUUUCCCUGUGGCAUCGGGUAAGUACCACUUCAGAUGAAUGUUUUGGUGAAGAAAGAGAUAAAGAUAUUGCACGGCUUGUUUGGGGGUAACCAGAGAAAGCCUCCAGGCCACACUGGAUGUUGUCAGCUGCCAACUGUAAUUUACUGUGAUGGAGCUGUUCAACUGGAGACCAGGAAGCCACAUGGAACUCUCCAAAGGGAUUUUAAGUGCUCAAACUGCUCAGAAAGCGUACAAGACAUUUUGGUAUCAUCAUUUUAAAAUAUGUAUAAUAUUUACAUUUAUAUAUAUGUAUAUUUAUUGAUGUAUGAUGUAAAAACUAUUUAGCCUACAAUGAAGUAAUAUGGAAAAAACAUCUUAUUAGACACAUUGAAAAGGAUAAUUGCUCUGCAUAAUUAAUUUUUUUGUCAUAUAAUGCAAGGCCAUAUUAAGCAACGCAGCAGAGUUCCCUUCAAAGAUUUUUGAAUGUGCAAAGAUUAUUUUUAGGUUGUAAGCUCUUUGAGCAGGGUCCUCUUUACCUCUUGAAUAUAUGUAGGUGCUUUAUAAAUACAUGUUAAUUAUAAUAAUGCUCCCCAGGAAAGUGCUAAAUCAAUUCAGGAAUGGUCUUGUGAGCGUUAGGAAGAGGCUACACAUUCCUCAGCCGACAGAUCCAAACACCACAAAACAUUUAUGGGAAAUCCGGGAAUGUAGAGCGUAGGGUCGUUUGGGAUGAACAAUGGGCUUCUUUUAACAGUCUGUGUGACGGCGCACAUAUACUUGCAGCUGUCAGAGUCACUUUACAGCUUGUAUAGUAGUAUUCCAAGAAGGGCCAAAGCUGUUUUGAAGUUCAAAGGGGAACCGGAACUUUUAUUGUUUCUAUAAUUUUGUCUGACACCUGUAGUCUGUAGUCGUAAAGGCAAAGGCACCAGUGAUAUGUCUAUCCAUAUAAUAGUGCAUGGACAAAAGGUUAGAAAAAUGAUAAAAAAUCAUAUUAAUGUCUUACUACAAGCCUCAGUGUAAAACUAUUACUGGGCUGAAGUAAGAGCACCAAAAGUCUGUAUUUUAUUAUAUAGGUGCCACCCAAAACAUUGUCUCUGAGGCUCCCCUUAAAGUCAAUAGAAUGGUCUCUGUUUCUACUGCAAAUUGUGUGGCCUGGAGAUUAUAAACUGACGUGUGAAUUUGGAUACCCAUGUGCUGUAAGAUUCCUUUUCACUGCUGUGACUGUGACAUUUCCAAACCCACAAGAAAUCUGUGCAUCUUUGCACAUAAACCUGUGCCUGCUUCACAAUAAAAUUUCUAUUAAUAUCAA
Xenopus tropicalis (tropical clawed frog) is the source of this 3122-nucleotide long non-coding RNA. RefSeq lists it as uncharacterized. The record is from RefSeq and is a predicted model, not a curated record. The transcript is spliced from 2 exons. Lineage: Eukaryota; Metazoa; Chordata; Amphibia; Anura; Pipidae.